RNAcentral lists this ribosomal RNA (504 nucleotides) under uncultured bacterium. Its description in RNAcentral is "bacterial SSU rRNA". It matches the Rfam family "Bacterial small subunit ribosomal RNA", at positions 29 to 524 of the family's 1533-position model. The record is from RNAcentral.
AUUGAACGCUGGCGGCGUGCUUAACACAUGCAAGUCGAUCGGUAACAGGUGUAGCAAUACAUGCUGACGAGAGGCGGACGGGUGAGUAAUGCUUGGGAAUCUGCCUAUUAGUGGGGGACAACCCGGGGAAACGUCGGGCUAAUACCGCAUACGCUCUACGGAGGAAAGCCGGGGACCGCAAGGCCUGGCGCUAAUAGAUGAGCCCAAGUCGGAUUAGCUAGUUGGUAGGGUAACGGCCUACCAAGGCGACAAUCCGUAGCUGGUCUGAGAGGACGACCAGCCACACCGGAACUGAGACACGGUCCGGACUCCUACGGGAGGCAGCAGUGGGGAAUAUUGGACAAUGGGGGCAACCCUGAUCCAGCGACGCCGCGUGGGUGAAGAAGGCCUGCGGGUUGUAAAGCCCUUUCGGUGGGGAAGAAAAGUCUCGACCUAAUACGUCGGGACCUUGACGUAACCCACUAAAGAAGCACCGGCUAACUCUGUGCCAGCAGCCGCAGUAAC